RNAcentral lists this unclassified non-coding RNA (358 nucleotides) under Haliotis rufescens (red abalone). Its description in RNAcentral is "uncharacterized PPE family protein PPE54-like, transcript variant X1". Lineage: Eukaryota; Metazoa; Mollusca; Gastropoda; Lepetellida; Haliotidae. The record is from RNAcentral.
ACACACGUUGUCACAGAACCCCCCAAGUUCCCUGAUCUACCACACAACGUACAGCACAGUACACGGGUUGUCACAGAAACCCCCAAGUUCCCUGAUCUACCACACAACGUACAGCACAGUACACGGGUUGUCACAAAACCCCCCAAGUUCCCUAAUCUACCACACAACGUACAGCAUGAGUCCUAGUGUCAAGUAUUCAGGUGGCAUGACUACUGGGGUCAAGUAUUCAGGUGUUAUGACUCAUAGUGUCAAGUAUUCAGGUGUCAUGACUACUGGUGUCAAGUAUUCAGGUGUUAUGACUCCUAGUGUCAAGUAUUCAGGUGUUAUGACUCCUAGUGUCAAGUAUUCAGGUGUUAUG